Molecule: ribosomal RNA, 382 nt
Filed under: uncultured bacterium
Lineage: Bacteria
Description: bacterial SSU rRNA
Rfam family: Bacterial small subunit ribosomal RNA
Source: RNAcentral
AGUGAACGCUGGCGGCAGGCCUAACACAUGCAAGUCGAACGGCAGCACAGAGGAGCUUGCUCCUUGGGUGGCGAGUGGCGGACGGGUGAGGAAUACGUCGGAAUCUGCCUAUUUGUGGGGGAUAACGUAGGGAAACUUACGCUAAUACCGCAUACGACCUUAGGGUGAAAGCGGAGGACCUUCGGCUUCGCGCAGAUAGAUGAGCCGACGUCGGAUUAGCUAGUGGCGGGGUAAAGGACCCACCAAGGCGACGAUCCGUAGCUGGUCUGAGAGGAUGAUCAGCCACACUGGAACUGAGACACGGUCCAGACUCCUACGGGAGGCAGCAGUGGGGAAUAUUGGACAAUGGGCGCAAGCCUGAUCCAGCCAUGCCGCGUGUGUG